UUUAAAUAAACAAUUUAAUUUUUAUACUUUUUAUCUUCUUUUAAUUAUUUACAAUAGUUUCAUUAACUUUCAAAUACAAAUUUUAAACAUUACAUUCAAAUUUCAAAUGGUGUAAUUAAUGGAAAAGUUUGACAAUAAAUAUUUUUAAAUGUUUUCGCUAUAAAUUUUUGUCUCUGAUUAUUUAUUAAAAAUAUAUCAUAUUUUACAAUAAAAGAAUUUUGCUAUGAAUUUAUAACAAUUAAUUGCAAAUUGACUUUCUCUGCAAAUAUGAAACAGGCGUUGACUUUAUGUCUGCAGAUUCGAGGACGUCACAAAUAUAUAUCUUACUGAAACUAACAUAAAAAAUUUUGGGAAAGUAUGACUACUUUUUUGUUUCUCCCAUCUUUAAAUUUUGAUUGCAUCUAUGACUAUGUUUCCAUCGAGGGUUCAAAUCGGGUCAGAGUCGAGUUAGAGUCGGGUUGGGGUGAGCGCUUUUACGGGGGAAACACCAAAGGUUUAGUUGAAUUCUACCCUACAAAAUUUUAGGGUAGCGUUCAAUUGGGUUCGGUGGAAACGACAAGAGUCGAGUUCGUGUUGCCAACAUAACAAAUCCAAAUUGCAUUGUGUAUCACGUGUUGUAUUAAUCGGUGUAGAAGAGAAUAUGGUAGUUGACUUUGUGCAGUUGGUAAUGUUCAACCCUGCCGCAACUCCAACCCGCGACUCAAACCCGACUCUAACCCGACUCUGACCCGAUUUGAACCCUCGAUGGAAACUUAGUCUAUGAGGUGUGAUGUGAAUUGGUGCCCCUGGAAUGCUGGCUGCCCUGCUUAUCAGUGCGCGUCUGAAAAUUAGACUUUAAACUUUUCCAUUAAUUACACCAUUUGAAAUUUGAAUGUAAUGUUUAAAAUUUGUAUUUGAAAGUUAAUGAAACUAUUGUAAAUAAUUAAAAGAAGAUAAAAAGUAUAAAAAUUAAAUUGUUUAUUUAAAAUACACAUCACAAUUCUUUCGAUUCUAGCGCCAUCUACUACGAGAGGGAGUACGCGUCCUCUUUUCUGGCGCCAUAAUUAAAAAAACAAUGAUCGGAAAAUUUGAAAUUCUUAUAUCUUGUUAGGCUCUUGUUUCAUGUCGUUUCAUCUACUUUUCGUUAUAAGUG
Megachile rotundata (alfalfa leafcutting bee) is the source of this 1132-nucleotide long non-coding RNA. The record is from RefSeq and is a predicted model, not a curated record. NCBI's taxonomy places the organism in Eukaryota, Metazoa, Arthropoda, Insecta, Hymenoptera, Megachilidae.